AACCCAUGAUGAGGACAUUCUUUAAUAAACUUUUGAAUUUCUCUCAUUCUUUAAAUAAUGAUUCUCCAUUUGCUUGAGUAAAAUUUGUGAUGCAAUUUCUCAUAU
Zingiber officinale is the source of this 105-nucleotide small nucleolar RNA. The record is from RefSeq and is a predicted model, not a curated record. NCBI's taxonomy places the organism in Eukaryota, Viridiplantae, Streptophyta, Magnoliopsida, Zingiberales, Zingiberaceae.